Molecule: long non-coding RNA, 213 nt
Filed under: Elaeis guineensis (African oil palm)
Lineage: Eukaryota; Viridiplantae; Streptophyta; Magnoliopsida; Arecales; Arecaceae
Description: long non-coding RNA (EGUI_LNC070646)
Source: RNAcentral
GAACUCCAUUCCAUUGUGAGGAUCAACAUAAUCAUUGUCUGUAUUUGGGUUAGUAGGAGAAGGUGCAUUCUUUUGAAUAACACCAGCAACCCCCAUCCAACUAAUCUUAUUGGAUAUUUUUUAGAUUUAUAAUUUCAACAUCAUCUGUAGAAAUCUCUAUACAAGAUCAAUAACAUCGAUGUUAAUAGCGUUAGGUGAUAUUUUCUCUAGAGG